AUAUUAACCUGGUAAAAAUAAUGAUAUAGAAAUUCGAACUCCACCUUUAAAUGAAGUACUGUUAUCUAGUGGAAAUCAUAUAUGUUGUUUCUAAGGACAUGAAUGAAGGAGCCGUCACUAGCGUGAGAACCGUAGUAGGAGAUACAAAGGAGUUUCCUAUAUCAGUGGGUCUGCACCAAGAAUCGACAUUGAACCCUACUUGUCCUUAGUUAUGGAUGAGCUAACCAUCAAGAUACAAGAUGAGGUUCCAUUACUAUUUGCUGAUGAUCUUGCGUUGAUUGACAUGACUAGUGACUGCUUCAACCAAAAGCUUGGACUAUGAAAAACUACUUUAGAGAGUAUGGGUUUGAGUUUAAGUAGAGGUAAGCUUGGAUACAUGCACAACAAGUUCAGUCAACACGAGAAGAGGAAAGUUGAGGAUCCCCAUCAGUAGCAAUGACCAUUUCAUGCAAAGCUAGUGAUUCUUGUUUAAGGUCAUCUAACUCGGUCAGCUGUAGCUUAUCAACUAACCUCCUUAGGACAUCAUGAUCUACAGCGGCGUCAUUACUCCUGCUAUAAAGAGACAGC
Molecule: long non-coding RNA, 567 nt
Filed under: Solanum lycopersicum (tomato)
Lineage: Eukaryota; Viridiplantae; Streptophyta; Magnoliopsida; Solanales; Solanaceae
Description: partial TCONS_00178899
Source: RNAcentral